This 778-nucleotide ribosomal RNA is filed under the name uncultured bacterium. RNAcentral's name for it is "bacterial SSU rRNA". It matches the Rfam family "Bacterial small subunit ribosomal RNA", at positions 56 to 855 of the family's 1533-position model. The record is from RNAcentral.
UGCAGUCGACGAUGAUGAGUAGCUUGCUACUCUGAUUAGUGGCGCACGGGUGAGUAAUAUAUAGAUAACGUACCUCUUAGACUGGGAUAGCCAUUGGAAACGAUGAUUAAUACUAGAUACUCCUUCUAGCUCUAAUGCUAGUCGGGAAAGUUUUUUCGCUAAGAGAUCGGUCUAUAUCCUAUCAGUUAGUUGGUGAGGUAAUGGCUCACCAAGGCAAUGACAGGUAGCGGGUUUGAGAGGAUGAUCCGCCACACUGGUACUGAGACACGGACCAGACUCCUACGGGAGGCAGCAGUGAGGAAUAUUGCACAAUGGGGGAAACCCUGAUGCAGCAACGCCGCGUGGAGGAUGACGCAUUUCGGUGUGUAAACUCCUUUUAUAUGUCAAGAAAAUGACGGUAGCAUAUGAAUAAGCACCGGCUAACUCCGUGCCAGCAGCCGCGGUAAUACGGAGGGUGCAAGCGUUAUUCGGAAUCACUGGGCGUAAAGGACGCGUAGGCGGGUUUGUAAGUCAGGUGUGAAAUCCUACAGCUUAACUGUAGAACUGCACUUGAAACUACUGACCUAGAGUAUGGGAGGGGGAGAUGGAAUUAGUGGUGUAAGGGGUAAAAUCCGUAGAUAUCACUAGGAAUACCUAAAGCGAAAGGCGAUCUCCUGGAACAUAACUGACGCUAAGCGUGAAAGCGUGGGGAGCAAACAGGAUUUGAUACCCUGGUAGUCCACGCCCUAAACGAUGACACUAGUCGUCGUGAUGCUAGUCAUUGCGGUGAUGCACUUAA